AGUGAACGCUGGCGGUAGGCCUAACACAUGCAAGUCGAACGGCAGCACAGGAGAGCUUGCUCUCUGGGUGGCGAGUGGCGGACGGGUGAGGAAUACAUCGGAAUCUACUCUGUCGUGGAGGAUAACGUAGGGAAACUUACGCUAAUACCGCAUACGACCUACGGGUGAAAGCAGGGGACCUUCGGGCCUUGCGCGAUUGAAUGAGCCGAUGUCGGAUUAGCUAGUCGGCGGGGUAAAGGCCCACCAAGGCGACGAUCCGUAGCUGGUCUGAGAGGAUGAUCAGCCGCACUGGAACUGAGACACGGUCCAGACUCCUACGGGAGGCAGCAGUGGGGAAUAUUGGACAAUGGGCGCAAGCCUGAUCCAGCCAUACCGCGUGGGUGAAGAAGGCCUUCGGGUUGUAAAGCCCUUUUGUUGGGAAAGAAAUCCAGCUGGCUAAUACCCGGUUGGGAUGACGGUACCCAAAGAAUAAGCACCGGCUAACUUCGUGCCAGCCGCCGCCGUAA
RNAcentral lists this ribosomal RNA (506 nucleotides) under uncultured bacterium. RNAcentral describes it as "partial 16S ribosomal RNA". It matches the Rfam family "Bacterial small subunit ribosomal RNA", at positions 29 to 523 of the family's 1533-position model. The record is from RNAcentral.